UAGCCAAUGAUGAAUUACUUGGGUUCUCCUUCAAGAAAUUAUGACUGAUGCACAACUAACGUUUCUGAUGCA
This 72-nucleotide small nucleolar RNA is filed under the name Nelumbo nucifera (sacred lotus). RNAcentral's name for it is "Small nucleolar RNA snoR60". It matches the Rfam family "Small nucleolar RNA snoR60". Rfam says of the family: snoR60 is a member of the C/D class of snoRNA which contain the C (UGAUGA) and D (CUGA) box motifs. Most of the members of the box C/D family function in directing site-specific 2'-O-methylation of substrate RNAs. The record is from Rfam by way of RNAcentral. Lineage: Eukaryota; Viridiplantae; Streptophyta; Magnoliopsida; Proteales; Nelumbonaceae.